This 468-nucleotide ribosomal RNA is filed under the name uncultured bacterium. RNAcentral describes it as "partial 16S ribosomal RNA". It matches the Rfam family "Bacterial small subunit ribosomal RNA", at positions 28 to 507 of the family's 1533-position model. The record is from RNAcentral.
GACGAACGCUGGCGGCGUGCUUAACACAUGCAAGUCGAACGGAAAGGCCCUGCUUUUGUGGGGUGCUCGAGUGGCGAACGGGUGAGUAACACGUGAGUAACCUGCCCUUGACUUUGGGAUAACUUCAGGAAACUGGGGCUAAUACCGGAUAGGAGCUCCUGCUGCAUGGUGGGGGUUGGAAAGUUUCGGCGGUUGGGGAUGGACUCGCGGCUUAUCAGCUUGUUGGUGGGGUAGUGGCUUACCAAGGCUUUGACGGGUAGCCGGCCUGAGAGGGUGACCGGCCAGAUUGGGACUGAGAUACGGACCGGACUCCUACGGGAGGCAGCAGUGGGGAAUAUUGCACAAUGGGCGGAAGCAUGAUGCAGCAACGCAGCGUGCGGGAUGACGGCCUUCGGGUUGUAAUCCGCUUUCGCCUGUGACGAAGCGUGAGUGACGGUAAUGGGUAAAGAAGCACCGGCUAACUACGUG